GCUCCCAUGGCGUAGUGGUCACUGCGCUCGCCUUGGAGGCGGGAGACCCGGGUUCGAUUCCCGGCGGAGUCA
Molecule: transfer RNA, 72 nt
Filed under: Diaphorina citri (Asian citrus psyllid)
Lineage: Eukaryota; Metazoa; Arthropoda; Insecta; Hemiptera; Psyllidae
Rfam family: tRNA
About the family: Transfer RNA (tRNA) molecules are approximately 80 nucleotides in length.
Source: Rfam by way of RNAcentral